GCGUUAGUUAUUAUCAUGAGCUAGCGAUGUUUCAUUCAAAUUUCUGAUCUAUCAAUUUAGGAAGGUUGGGUAGUGGCCAACCUUGAUUAUGACGGGCAACGGGGAAUCAGGGUUCGGUACCGGAGAGGGGGCCUGAGAGAUGGCCACCACAUCCAAGGAUGGCAGCAGGCGCGCAACUUACCCAAAUCUCGACAUGAGGAGGUAGUGACAAGAAAUAUCGGCGCGGGGCUCUAAAAGAGUCUUGUAAUGCUGAAAUGAGGACAGUUUAAAACUCUUACCGAUAAGCAAUUAGAGGGCAAGUCUGGUGCCAGCAGCCGCGGUAAUACCAGCUCUAAUAGUGUAUGUUAAAGUUGUUGCAGUUAAAACGCUCGUAGUUGGAAUAUCGAAUGAAGUUAAUAAAGCGCGGGGAAAUUAUUUAUAAUUUUUCGAGCGAGUACUAAUAACAUUUGAGGGUUUAGUUAAUUUAGAAGUCUUUAUUUAUUAUAUUGUAUGCUUGCCGCUUUGGCCUCAUGGAGGACGAAGAAGAGCGACAUAUAAUAUAAAAAUAAUUGAGCUUUUUUCAAUUAAUUAAAUUCGAUUUUUUUCCUCUGUGGUAUUAAGUUACUGUGGGGGACGAUUACUUUGAGCAAAGAUUAGUGUUCAAAGCAGGCCAAAAGGCUUGAGAUAUCUAGCAUGGGAUAAUGGAAUAAGACUUUGGUUUUAUUUUGUUGGUUUAUAGGGCCGAAGUAAUGGUUAAUAGGGACAGUUCGGGGGCGUUGAUAUUCAAUAGGGAGAGGUGAAAUUCAAUGAUCUAUUGAGGAUCGACAGAAGCGAAAGCGUUCGCCAAGGAUGUUUUCAUUGAUCAAGAACGAAAGUUAGGGGAUCGAAGACGAUUAGACACCGUCGUAGUCCUAACCAUAAACGAUCUCGACUGGGGAUUGGAAGAGACAUUCUUUGGAAGGAUCUCAUUCAGGACCCACUGAGAAAUCAAUAAGUGUUUGGAGUCUGGGGGGAAGUAUAGUCGCAAGGCAGAAACUUAAAGGAAUUGACGGAAGAGCACCACAAGAAGUGGAUUCUGUGGCUCAAUUUGACCCAACGCGGGGAAACUUACCAGGACCGGACCGAAAUAGGAUUGACAGAUUAAUAGCUCUUUCAUGAUUUUCGGAUUGGUGGUGCAUGGCUGUUCUUAGUUGGUGAAGUGAUUUGUCUGUGUUAAUUCCGUUAACGAGCGAGACCUCAGCCUCUUACUAGUGAUUUAAAAG
Molecule: ribosomal RNA, 1241 nt
Filed under: metagenome
Description: SSU rRNA
Rfam family: Eukaryotic small subunit ribosomal RNA
Source: RNAcentral